This 254-nucleotide ribosomal RNA is filed under the name uncultured bacterium. RNAcentral describes it as "partial 16S ribosomal RNA". It matches the Rfam family "Bacterial small subunit ribosomal RNA", at positions 524 to 776 of the family's 1533-position model. The record is from RNAcentral.
UACGGGGGGGGGCAAGCGUUGUUCGGAAUUACUGGGCGUAACGGGCUCGUAGUCGGCCAACUAAGUCGGAUGUGAAAUCCCCAGGCUCAACCUGGGAACUGCAUCCGAUACUGGAUGGCUUGAAUUCGGGAGAGGGAUGCAGAAUUCCAGGUGUAGCGGUGAAAUGCGUAGAUAUCUGGAGGAAUACCGGUGGCGAAGGCGGCAUCCUGGACCGACAUUGACGCUGAUGAGCGAAAGCUAGGGGAGCAAACGGG